GGUUGACCUCGGAUCAGGUAGGAAUACCCGCUGAACUUAAGCAUAUCAAUAAGCGGRGGAAAAGAAACCAACMGGGAUUGCCCUAGUAACGGCGAGUGAAGCGGCAACAGCUCAAAUUUGAAAUCUGGCCUUCGGGUCCGAGUUGUAAUUUGCAGAGGAUGCUUUUGGCGCGGUGCCUUCCGAGUUCCCUGGAACGGGACGCCUUAGAGGGUGAGAGCCCCGUACGGUUGGACACCAAGCCUCUGUAAAGCUCCUUCGACGAGUCGAGUAGUUUGGGAAUGCUGCUCUAAAUGGGAGGUAAAUUUCUUCUAAAGCUAAAUACCGGCCAGAGACCGAUAGCGCACAAGUAGAGUGAUCGAAAGAUGAAAAGCACUUUGAAAAGAGGGUUAAAUAGCACGUGAAAUUGUUGAAAGGGAAGCGUUUACGGCCAGACCUUUUCCUGGCGGAUCAUCUGGUGUUCUCACCAGUGCACUUCGCCAGGUUUAGGCCAGCAUCGGCUUCUGUAGGGGGAUAAAAGCAGUGGGAAAGUAGCUCCCUCGGGAGUGUUAUAGCCCUAAGCAUAAUACC
This 567-nucleotide ribosomal RNA is filed under the name Sordariomycetes sp. RNAcentral describes it as "eukaryotic LSU rRNA". The record is from RNAcentral. Lineage: Eukaryota; Fungi; Ascomycota; Sordariomycetes.